CAGACAGAGGCUCCGCAAGACGAAGUCCGUAGACUACUACUGCGUAUAUUCAUGUAUCGACCGCAUGUCGACCCAACCGAUAUUUCGAAAAAAGGAGGCUCGCCUAUCAGAGCAAUUGUUCGCUGGAUUCAGCUCGCCUCAUCUGCAGUACUAGUAUCCAAGCGCCAUCGUGCAUGCUGGCUGGGCACAUGCAGAAUAACGCAUGUGCAGUACAGAAGUUAACGAGAUGUCAUCACUCCUAAACUACCUACCUACCUAACUAACUAAACCACAUACGCAGUGGAAAGUAAUCCGUAGCUUGCAACGCCCCUCUGCGUUGUGAUUCGAUGCAAGCAUAGGCCAUUAUUUUUAUCUUGUUUUGAUCCUUUGAUCUGUUUUUUGUUUUCCGUGCCCUGCCCGGCCUGCAACUUCUCCGCUUAGAAGGAAUAAACGAGAUGAGAAGAACAAGCACAUCUCUCUCUGCGUUGUGAUCCAUGCCAAGUAAAAGCCACAUAAGGGGAUGAUGGAUGGAUGAUUUGGCCAUCAUGAACCAAGUUCGCCAUGCUUUUUCUCUUCCCCGCACUCACCGGCGUGCUCACCGGGCCCUCAUGUCUUUUCUCCCUCAUUAUGCAUUUAAUUUCUGAUCUUUGAACCUUUCUCUCUCUCUCUCUUUUUUUUUUCGUUUUGUGUGUGUUAGGAAUCCAUAAACCUGCAUAGUAGUACUUGGGGCCCUGUGUGAGCAGAAGCUUCGAGGGUUGUUCGUAACAUGAUCAUCCAGAUAUGCGGGCGGGAUUUACUCCAAGCGGCUGGCUCGUCAAUCCAGCAACAAAUGAUGCUCCCUCUCUCGUCUCGUCUGCAAGUAGGAAAUGCAUUCUUAGUCCAGAAGUGGAGGAAAGACAAGAGGAAAAAGAAAAGAAAAGAAAAGAAAUAAAUAGAUAAAAUGCCUCGUUUUAACGGGCGGAUUCUCCCGCUCCCUUCGUCUGUGUUUCUGUGUUUUUUUUUUCUUUUCAAGUUCUUUCAUUUCCCGCUUCUCUCUGUCGUGGGUCACAUAGAAGGGAUUUGUUUUUGUUCUUGGUUGCGGGUUUUUGUCUGAUGCCAUAGAUAUACUAUCCAAAGACAAGCAGGCUAGCCACGCGGAUCGACAGACCAUGAUAUGAUCCCAUACGUACUAUGGAGAGCGAGAACAGCCUGCUGCUGUAUUGUUGAAUGUUGCCGCUAUGCUCGAUCUAAUUUAGCGGUGGCGUCAACGAAGCUCAAUCCCUGCGUGCCUGGCUCAGGUUGAUUUAGGUUUACUGGUCGUCGAUCCUGGUGCCUUGCUGAUGAUGAGGAGAUCUCACCUGAAGGCUAACUAUUUUGCAAACCUUCCGAUGAGCUGGACAGAGCGGAGGACUUGAUCUUAUACCAAAGGUUGAUACUACUAUGUAUGUAUGUAGAGUACCUUAAGAAGCAGCUCUUAUCUCGGUGCUCGAUGAUAAUACCGUUCAAGGGAAUAAAUAAAGAAAUAAAGAAAUAAGUAGUUAGUUUAACGUCCAGGAACGGUGCUGUCAAUAUCAAAACAAAGCGAAAAACGAACCAAGCAUGUUUCGAUCUGGACAACACCUCAACCCGUAUACACCCUUGCUUCCAUAGCCCAUCACCACCGUACAACGCACACGGCACAGGGAUGGGCGAUAGGAAUCCGCCGGC
Molecule: small RNA, 1665 nt
Filed under: Histoplasma capsulatum var. duboisii H88
Lineage: Eukaryota; Fungi; Ascomycota; Eurotiomycetes; Onygenales; Ajellomycetaceae
Description: Histoplasma capsulatum H88 hypothetical RNA
Source: RNAcentral